Molecule: ribosomal RNA, 490 nt
Filed under: uncultured bacterium
Lineage: Bacteria
Description: partial 16S ribosomal RNA
Rfam family: Bacterial small subunit ribosomal RNA
Source: RNAcentral
AUUGAACGCUGGCGGCAGGCCUAACACAUGCAAGUCGAACGGUAACAGGAAGAAGCUUGCUUCUUUGCUGACGAGUGGCGGACGGGUGAGUAAUGUCUGGGAAACUGCCUGAUGGAGGGGGAUAACUACUGGAAACGGUAGCUAAUACCGCAUAACGUCGCAAGACCAAAGAGGUGGACCUUUUUGCCUCUUUCCAUCGGAUUUGCCCAGAUGGGAUUAGCUAGUAGGUGGGGUAACGGCUCACCUAGGCGACGAUCCCUAGCUGGUCUGAGAGGAUGACCAGCCACACUGGAACUGAGACACGGUCCAGACUCCUACGGGAGGCAUCAGUGGGGAAUAUUGCACAAUGGGCGCAAGCCUGAUGCAGCCAUGCCGCGUGUAUGAAGAAGGCCUUCGGGUUGUAAAGUACUUUCAGCGGGGAGGAAGGGAGUAAAGUUAAUACCUUUGCUCAUUGACGUUACCCGCAGAAGAAGCACCGGCUAACUACGUG